Long non-coding RNA from Lycium barbarum (goji berry), 1010 nucleotides. RefSeq lists it as uncharacterized. The record is from RefSeq and is a predicted model, not a curated record. NCBI's taxonomy places the organism in Eukaryota, Viridiplantae, Streptophyta, Magnoliopsida, Solanales, Solanaceae. The transcript is spliced from 3 exons.
CUUAAUAUUUUUCCAUUACAGAUCUUGUACGUGAACUUAAUAAAUGGAUUUGGAUAGGACCAUUUGCUAAUGGGUGGGAUAUGAAGUGUGCAUAAAAUUAGAUAUGCAUAUAAGCAACCAUUUUUCACGAGAUGGAGAAGCAAUAGGCAGCAACCUCUUUAAUGUUGGAUAUUAUUCAUUUGCAGCAAGCAGCAACGUUACAUAUAUGGAGCAUCUACUCCAGUUUCUUGGCUGUAACGUGGGUUUCAUAUGUGAGAAAAUAUAGUACAAUUUUUCACAAGAUUAAUAUACGGGAUUAGCGUACCGCUUCGAUCUCGUUAUUCCAUUUUAUCGUGUCGUUGAAACCGGACUUUCUUCGAGGUGAAGUAAUAUGGAAGAAGAUUAUUUCUUGGCAUGUAAGGAUUAGCAUCAGCAUUACGACGAGUUCAUUUUGGGUUUAUAUUGACAACUUAAGGUACAGAUGCUCACGUUGGUAACCCGCCAGCUUAGGAGUCCUAUUCAGCUAUCUUGGAGAGCUCCCUUGUUCCGGAGCCUAGAUUUUGGUACAGAAUCUCUUGUGGUGUAUAUGUAUUUUAUCCAGGGGUACGGCGGGGCCCUGUCCCAUCAUAUUUCACUGUUGAAACUCUUAGAGGUCUGUAGACAUGUAUGUGGGUUGUAUUCCGAUGUGGUCAAUUGUGUAUAUGAUCAUUAUGCGUGUUUUAUCGCUAUAGCAGCCUUGUCGGCUUGCAUAUAUUGUCUUAUUGUUGUUGCAGCCUUGUAGGCUUGCUUGUAUUAUCGUUUCGUAGUGGCAGCCUUGUCGGCGUGCGUAAUGUUCUAAUGUGUAGUGGCAGCCUUGUCGGCUUGCGUAGUAUGAUAACAUGUAUAGUGGCAGCCUUGUCGGCUUGCGUAUGUGAAUAUGUUGUGAUGUUAUUAGUUGAGUCCUAUAGUGCCGGCCCUAUAAUGUUGACAGGUAUGUAUGGGUGCCCAGCUCGGGCACUAGUCAUGGCCCACGGGGCUGGGUCGUGACAUGA